UGUAGCCGGAGCGAAAGCGAGUCUGAAUAGGGCGCAUAGUCAGUGGAGGUAGACGCGAAACCCUGUGAUCUACCCAUGACCAGGUUGAAGUUGCAGUAACAUGCAAUGGAGGACCGAACCAGUAUACGUUGAAAAGUAUUUGGAUGAGUUGUGGGUAGGGGUGAAAGGCCAAUCAAACUGGGAGAUAGCUCGUACUCCCCGAAAUGCUUUUAGGAGCAGCGUGGAGGUUAAGUCUGGCAGAGGUAGAGCUACCGAUAGGACUAGGGGGAGUCAAAUCCUACCAAAUCCUGACGAACUCCGAAUGCUGUCAGAUAUACUCUGCAGUGAGGGUUUGGGUGCUAAGGUCCAAAUCCGAGAGGGAAAGAACCCAGAACUACAGCUAAGGUCCCAAAAUCUGUGUUAAGUUGAACUAAGGCGGUCCAGUUGCAGAGACAGCCAGGAUGUUGGCUUGGAAGCAGCCAUUCAUUUAAAGAGUGCGUAACAGCUCACUAGUCGAGCGGUUCGGCAUGGAUAAUAAUCGGGCAUAAACAUACUACCGAAGCUAUGGCAUCUUUAAGAUGGGUAGGGGAGCAUUCUAUAUGUAUUGAAGUUGAGCUGUGAGGCUUGGUGGAACGUAUAGAAAAGAAAAUGUAGGCAUAAGUAACGAUAAUGCGGGCGAGAAACCCGCACACCGAAAGACCAAGGUUUCCUCAGCUAUGCUAAUCAGCUGAGGGUUAGUCAGGACCUAACGCGAACCCGAACGGGGUAGUGGAUGGACAACGGGUUAAUAUUCCCGUACCUGCUCACACUAAAAGUGACGGAUCUCUGGAGUUGCUGCGUACUGACGGAAUAGUACGUUGAAGCAGUAAUGCGAUAGUACACUAAGGCUACGGCCGCGGUGAUAAUGUAGCGAAGGAGGUUCCAAGAAAAGCGAGUGAAGCAGCCUGUACCGUAAACCGACACAGGUGGUUGGGAUGAGAAUUCUAAGGUGCUCGAGAGAUUCAUGGCUAAGGAACUAGGCAAAAUAGUCCUGUAACUUCGGGAGAAGGGACGCCUCCUCUACUUCGGUAGAGAGGCCGCAGUGAAAAGGCCCAGGCGACUGUUUAUCAAAAACACAUGGCUUUGC
This 1105-nucleotide ribosomal RNA is filed under the name Thalassiosira minuscula. RNAcentral describes it as "partial Bacterial large subunit ribosomal RNA". It matches the Rfam family "Bacterial large subunit ribosomal RNA", at positions 661 to 1826 of the family's 2925-position model. Lineage: Eukaryota; Bacillariophyta; Thalassiosirophyceae; Thalassiosirales; Thalassiosiraceae. The record is from RNAcentral.